RNAcentral lists this ribosomal RNA (468 nucleotides) under uncultured bacterium. RNAcentral's name for it is "partial 16S ribosomal RNA". It matches the Rfam family "Bacterial small subunit ribosomal RNA", at positions 28 to 507 of the family's 1533-position model. The record is from RNAcentral.
GACGAACGCUGGCGGCGUGCUUAACACAUGCAAGUCGAACGGACAGGCCCUGCUUUUGUGGGGUGCUCGAGUGGCGAACGGGUGAGUAACACGUGAGUAACCUGCCCUUGACUUUGGGAUAACUUCAGGAAACUGGGGCUAAUACCGGAUAGGAGCUCCUGCUGCAUGGUGGUGGUUGGAAAGUUUCGGCGGUUGGGGAUGGACUCGCGGCUUAUCAGCUUGUUGGUGGGGUAGUGGCUUACCAAGGCUUUGACGGGUAGCCGGCCUGAGAGGGUGACCGGCCACAUUGGGACUGAGAUACGGCCCAGACUCCUACGGGAGGCAGCAGUGGGGAAUAUUGCACAAUGGGCGGAAGCCUGAUGCAGCAACGCCGCGUGCGGGAUGACGGCCUUCGGGUUGUAAACCGCUUUCGCCUGUGACGAAGCGUGAGUGACGGUAAUGGGUAAAGAAGCACCGGCUAACUACGUG